UGUUUGAUCUGCUUGUUGACUGUGAAUUGCUAUAUGAUUGUAUGUAUAUGUGCACAUGGUUGUUUGGACUGGAGUUGGGUUGAGGCGGGUCCUGCUUUGUGCUGUAGGCCAAGAUACCCAGGGCGGACCGGUUGUCCCGAAGGCCCAGCGAGCGGUCCGGAUAGGCUGUAGGCCCCAAGAGGGCGGACCAGACGUGCCGAGGCUCGGGGAGUGGACCAGGAAAACUGAAGGCCCGGUGUGGGCGGACCAGUCAUACUGUAGACUCAGAGAGUGGACCAGGUGGAUUGAAGGCCCGGUGCGGGCGGACCAAUCACACUGCAGACUCGAUGUAUGUGGUUAGAUUCGGAGAGUGGACCAGGUGGAUUGAAGGCCCGGUGCGGGCGGACCAAUCACACUGUAGACUCGAGGUUUAUGGCUAGACUCAUAGGGUGGACCAGGUGGACUGUAGGCCGGUGCGGCGGACCAGUCACACAGUAGACCCGAAGUGCAUGGUUGUUCUGUGAUCAGAUAUGUUGUGGCAUGUUAUGCGUGUAUGGUAUAUGUGGUUGGUAUUUUGGGGAUAUCUCACUAAGCUUUCGGGCUUACAGUUGUGGUUUUAUGUUUUUCAGGUUCUUCAGGAGAUCGUGGCAAGGCGAAGGCGUGAUCGUACCGCUCCUCGUGUUUAUAUUGAGAAGAGAUUCAGGGAAUACUUAAAAUG
RNAcentral lists this long non-coding RNA (697 nucleotides) under Lactuca sativa (garden lettuce). Its description in RNAcentral is "long non-coding RNA (LSAT_LNC002036)". Lineage: Eukaryota; Viridiplantae; Streptophyta; Magnoliopsida; Asterales; Asteraceae. The record is from RNAcentral.